This 497-nucleotide ribosomal RNA is filed under the name uncultured bacterium. Its description in RNAcentral is "partial 16S ribosomal RNA". It matches the Rfam family "Bacterial small subunit ribosomal RNA", at positions 28 to 507 of the family's 1533-position model. The record is from RNAcentral.
GAUGAACGCUGGCGGCGUGCCUAAUACAUGCAAGUCGAGCGAACAGACGAGGAGCUUGCUCCUCUGACGUUAGCGGCGGACGGGUGAGCAACACGUGGAUAACCUACCUAUAAGACUGGGAUAACUUCGGGAAACCGGAGCUAAUACCGGAUAAUAUAUUGAACCGCAUGGUUCAAUAGUGAAAGACGGUUUUGCUGUCACUUAUAGAUGGAUCCGCGCCGCAUUAGCUAGUUGGUAAGGUAACGGCUUACCAAGGCAACGAUGCGUAGCCGACCUGAGAGGGUGAUCGGCCACACUGGAACUGAGACACGGCCCAGACUCCUACGGGAGGCAGCAGUAGGGAAUCUUCCGCAAUGGGCGAAAGCCUGACGGAGCAACGCCGCGUGAGUGAUGAAGGUCUUCGGAUCGUAAAACUCUGUUAUUAGGGAAGAACAAAUGUGUAAGUAACUAUGCACGUCUUGACGGUACCUAAUCAGAAAGCCACGGCUAACUACGUG